AUCCUAAACCCCAGAUCUUCCACAACUGUCUUUCAAGGAGGCAAAGACUACUUGCUGUGUACUGGAAUGUGUCCUUUAUAUUUGAUAUUAACUAAUGGGGAUGAAAUUACUCUUGGCUCUUGAUGUUACUGAGUGUUCCCUUUGGGGGCUGGAUUCCUUCCCAGCAAGUGGUAGCAGCCACCAGCAAAGGCUGUUGAAAUGUCAGAUGGCAAAAACAAGAAAGAGCUCCAGAUGGAGCAACUGGAAGAGAAACAUGAUAGAGAUGGUAAUGGGAAAGCUUCAGAUUCACACUUGAUUGGGAGUCCCAUGCUUGGGAUUCGGACAUGCACAGUCCCACCUGUGGCUUCCAAACCCACUCUCUGUGCAAACCCUUGUGCAAAGCAGCAUCCCAUGAGGAAGUUCUUCCUUAUUAUGGAUUGAAGACUGAAAUAAAUAAAAGCAAUUUGUGGUUCCUACAGCUUUGUACCUGUUGGUCUGCAAGUGGGACCUCACAAUAAGAUGCUUCUCAGGGCAGCAAAACUCACUGACCACUUCUGACUGUGCUGGACACUUCUCCGGAUUCCUCUGGAACAAUGAAGAGGGCUGUGGAAGUGGGGCAGAACAGGACCAGCUCUGGCAUUUUGGCUGCUGCAGUAGGGGAAAGGAGAAGGCAUGAGGAAUCCCUUGAAUCAUUUGAAGAAAAGAUUGGUCCCACUCCACUGAAACCCUUGGCCUACAGAUGUCCCCUAGGAGACCUUUAGUGAACAUCAGACAAAGAAUGGCAUUAGAAUUUCCAUUGCACUCUGUCAGGUAAGCAAAAUGAGGGAUCAGGACAACAGGUGGAAACCCAUAAGUACCUAAAGGAUGAUGUAGGGAACAUAGAGUAAGAUUUGUAAUGCUUUGUGAGCGGCUGGGGAUUUAAUUUUUUUUUUGUCUGAAUACAGCCCACAAAGGUUACUAAUGAUUUAAUUUUAUGUGUUCUUCUAGACUAAAAAUAUAAAUGUGUUCUUAUAGAAAAAUGAAAGGAAUUUCUAUAUCUCUGAGUUUUUGAGCAGCUUACCUCCUCACAUUUGUACUGAAGUCUUUCAGGACUGGUAAGAUUAGUCUCCUUUUUUUGGCUGGCCAAAUGCAAACUAAUACUAGAUUGUGUAGGCAGCUGUGGAUUGAUAUGAAUGAAUCACCAAAACUCAUCAAUUUCUGCAGAUAUUUUCUUGACAGCAGUAGAAAACUGCAGGGCUGGAGCUGCAGGGUGCUGGAAUAAAUAAUUUUUGCUAGCACGUAUAGGAAGUACAAUUUCCUUGAGUCUAGAGGUAGAAAGAGUCACCUGCACAGAGAUGUGUGGCAGCUUUUUCUUUCCAUCCCAGCAGAGGAAUGCUGAAAUAUAGUGUCUGUCUUUCUUGAUAAAGCCAGACUAGUUUUGAAAUGAGUGUCUGCUGUCUUCUGCAAAUAAGAUUGCAGCAGAUGGUUUCAUUGCUCCCCAGUCCCAAUCAGACAUAUGAAUUCUGCUUAAAACACUGAGGAAAAUACUAUGAAAAAGCAGUGCAGGCUUUGUGUGCCAGUGUGAAAUGGGUGUAGAGAUAUCAUGGCUAAAAGCAGAGGUGUAAGCCUUGCCUUUAAUGGGUACCUUAUCUGGAGAAAUUACAUAAACUUCUGGGCUUAUCUUGCAGGUCUGUGCACAAAUAGGUGUGUGUGCUCUGUCUGAACAUAGCAGAGACCAGCCUAGGUCACAAAAAUAGAACAAGUUUUGUUCUCUGGCACCCCACAUUGGGAUUUUAGGAGUGUGGAGAUCCAUUUCUCAUUUUGUUAUAAAGUUUUCCCAUGUCUUCCUUCCAGUUCUACCAAUUUAUGGGCAGGUACUUAUGCACAGUACUGUAAGCUAAAAUAUUUGUGCAUCUAAAAAUACAUAGAGGGAUGUGUUCUCCCACUGUUGCAGAGAAGCAGUGAAAAGACCCCUGAGUGCAGUUAUGUCACCACUCUUGUUCUGGGACUGGAAUCUCAGCUACAGAAAAGUGCUCUCCUGGAAACAGCAAACAAAGAGUGGGUUGUCCCCUCCUGCUGCAGCGUAUCCCCAAGUCCUGGUGCAAGGAGCUACAUCUCCGCAAACAUCUAUGUGCAUAUGCACGUGCUCUCUCUGUGUUUUUUGCACUUGAGCAUAAAACACAAAUCCCCUUCAGGUGUGAAACCUCCACAUCCCCACCUCUGGUUUGCUGUGAACCUCACCAGGAGCAAUAUGGGGGCACAGAUAAUGGCUUCUUUCACAAAGUAGUUGUCCAGCUCCAAUUCACUGUUCUUUUUCCCUUGCGCUGAAUUCCUUGCUAAUGCCAAUAUAACCUCUGCUUCCCUCCCUCUCCAUCCUCAAUGUAAAUUGACUUGCUGCAACCUGCCACUCUCCAGAAAUUACAAAGCCUAGGAAGAUAAUUUGUUGCUGGUGCUGAUAGCAUCUGUUUAUUCUAAUGCACCAGUUGGGCUGUUCUCGCCUGCACACGGGAGAAAAUGACCUUCAGUAGAAUCACAAACUUAACUCUGGAUCAGCAUCUCCCUCAGCAGCUGACUGCUGGGAAUAUGAAGUCUAUGUUUUCAGGGAGGCAGCAGCCAAACCAGUGCAGAGCAGGGCUGCCACCAGGGAGGCAGAAGGCAACCUAGAGCUUUUUCAAGAGUAAGUAUCUAUCAUAGUAAAUUUGUGGCCUGAAAAAUGCUGUGCACCACAUCUUUUUAGGACACUUGGAUUCCUUGUUUUCGUAAGUAUGAAAACUGCUUCUGCUACUUUGCACACCAAUGCCCAAUUAGACUUCAAUGCUGGUGCCUCAAGGAAGGUCUGAUUAGGACAUUCUUACUUGGAGAAUCAGAUAAAUAAAGAUGAUAAUACAGUUUAAAACUAAAUAAUCCACAGGAGUUCAAUUGGCUGACUGGUUGUGAUAAAAUUGGUAAUAGUGGCACAAAAAGAACCUUCUUUGUAUCUUAUGAAUAAACAGAAGAUGAAUGUUUUCUCUGGAUAAUGGAACAAUUUUCACUUCAUUGGUACUUGGGAGUAUAUUAAUCAGGUUUUAAAGUUACAUAUGCAAAUCUCACUGGGGUUUUCUAACUCCAAAUCCUAGAGGUACAAAGCCAAAGAGCUCCCUAGGUCUUUAUUUUGAUUUCUGAAAAGAAACACUGGGGAAGUUCUAGAGGCUAAAGAAAUCUAAAUUUAGAUCAAUAUUCUAAAUAGAUUGCUAUGAUCAUUAAUAAUUAACAUUAAUAUUAAUUCAAGGAUAUUCAAGGAUAUGCAAGGAAUACAUAAGGAAUAACAUACUGAAGCAGUGUAUCACAUGAAGGGACAUCUAGUACUGUUUUUUGGAAAUUAAUUAUGGUCAGCUUCAGUUGGAUUUAAAAAAAAGAAAUCUAUCUGGUUGAUUAUUACACUAAUGUUGAUGAAAGAACUUCCUGUAUGACUUAAACUUGUUCCCAUGCAUAUUCUUUCAUAAACUCAAAUGGUACAGUACCAAAUAAGAAGUAACAGAUGGAUUCCAACUGUUUCAGUUAUAAACUUCAGAGUGGGAUUUAUAAAGAGGUUUAAAGUAUAAAUAUAUAAAAUAGUUGUGUUCCUAGUGGGACCUAUUUGUUGCAAUAAGUGUUGCUUAAGAGUGUGGCAGUGACUGCAAGAAGGGGUGAAUUCCACUCUGCUGGUGUUAGCAGAGGACAGAAGGAGCAGUUUAACAUGGUUUGGAUCCUUUGGUAGAAUGGAAACAGCAAAUAAUUUCUCUUUUCAGGAUCCUACAGGUAAAGGAAAUGAAAAAUCUGAGAUCUAUGUACCAGAUGGAAUAGACUGGGCUGAGAAACAGCAAUCUGGAAAAUGACUGAGGACUUGAGUGCAUAAUUGGCUGAGUGUCAUCUCUCACUUCAGUGCUGUGGCCAAAGGGUCUAAAGCAACCCUUGGAGCCUUCCUAAUGCCUGCUUGAUAUUCCCUGUCUCUCUACUCAGAGAUUGCUUUACUGCUGUGUUUGGCACUGGUGCAGCUGCUUUGGGAGCACUCCAUCCAGCUGUGGUACCCACAAUUAAAGAAGGAUGUUGAAAACCUGGCGAUCUUUCAGAGAGGAGCCACAAGAAUGACUGCAGGAUUGGCAAACACCUUUCAGUGCAGUCCAUCCCCUUAGCUUACCAAAUGAGAACUCAAGAGAAGUCUGGUUCUCAAGUAUGCUAUAUAAGGAAGAGAAAUUCAGAAACAGAAGCUCCUUUGGGCAAUAGUGUAAUAAGAAUUAGUAGUUAGGAGUUGGACAAGUUCAUACUGUGUAUAAGUCUUCAACAUUUAACAGGGGAAACCAUUCUUGGAGCAAAAGUCAGGGCUAUGAUUUAUUCCAUCAUUUGCAGUAGAGAUUGGCUGCUUUUCCCAUCAGCUUCACCCAGGUUCAUGCAGAUAUUCAUUCAGAGCAGUCUUGUUGCUGGCAUCCUUUCAGAAGGCAGACCAUGGCUGCCCUCUGGCUCUGUUAAUUUACAGAUCAGAGUUCUCACUCCAAACUGUGAUCUAGAGACACAAAAUCCUUCAACAUACUAAUUCUGCUGUCUGAUGCUAAACCCUGUUCUUCAGUUUCACUGUAGGAUUGGACAGAAAAAGCAAGAAUUUGUGCAAGAAUUUGUAUGUGAGAUUUUGUUUGACCAUGUGAAAAGCUUUGGGACUAAUGUUAAUUUUAAAACCAUUUUUCCAUCUUUACAAUUCCCAUAUCAGCAUACAGCCUUGGGCAGGGCAGGAGGUUUUGAAUGAACAGUCAGACUCAGUCUCCUUUCCUCAAAGGCUUGAAGUCAUGGUCUGGCAAAAGGAUCCACCAAUAUUUGUGAAAUGGACACAGGAGAGCAAGGAAGAGAACAAUCAUCUCUCUGGUGCCAGGCCCUACCCCUGAUGUUCCCUGUAACAGAGCCUCACCUUGCAGUUUUGACUACCAGUCAGUCUGUGUGGUGCCCUGUGGCCUUGGUGUUACUCUGCCUUCCUCUCUGAGGGGAGAAUUUUUCUUGGGCAGCAAAGAAAAAAGCACACUGGCUAUGGCACAGUGAGAAAUUCUGCCUUUCUGCUGCCCACACUGUGAGAAAGAAGUCUGCCUGAAAUAUUCCCCAGUCCUUAAAAACAGAAAUGGGCAUGGCACAUCUCAGUGUUCAUUGAAUUGGGAUUGAAUUCUAAUAUUCUUUGAUCAAACCUCAAGUUUGGAGGAAGUAUGAGCCUUGAAUUUGGGUUAUUGACAUUUUAGAAAUACUACUUUCUGGUCUGUUUCUCUAGGACCAUUCAAAGCUCUUCUGUGGUUUUCUCCACUUCCCUACUGGGCUGCUUUGAUUUCUGAGCUCUGAGUUUAACAAAUAGAGGGCACUUUGCUUCCUCCUACAGAAAAGUAUUGUCACCAGGAUGAUGUGAAGCAAGGAAAUUUUGCUGAAGCCUUGAUUUGAAAUGUUUUUUUCAAGGGAGGUUUUUUUGCUUACUUUCAUGUCUAUAUAUAGCUUCCUCCAGGAGCACUUUUGCAAAACCCAGACUCUGCUAUGAUUGAAGUUGAUUCUAUACUCCUAGUUUUCCCCAUUUUUAUUGGAGAAACAUCUCCUUUUCUGUCCCUACCCAGACUGUGGAAGAGAGCCCAGCACAACGACCCACAGCUGGUUGUGCUCCUGCACCAGGCUCUCCAUGCUGACACCUACCCAGGGCCCUUGGCUUCCUUUGGGCAUCAGGACAGGUGUGGUUAUUCAAUUGCUUGUGUAAUGCUGGGCUUUUGAAAUCCCAUCCCCCAGGAGCUCUAUAUCAAUAUGGUAGAUAGAGAUGUAGUUCCCUGUUUCAUCUGAAGGGAUUUGGUAUCAUGACUGCAAAGUGAUAUAAAUAUUUCAGUUAUCAGCAGUUGAUAGGCAUUCAAGAUAGGUUGUGGGAUGAUUACAUUUGAUGCCUUUGCAGAGCAAUGGUAGAUGUAUCAUGAAAAAUAUCUUUUAAAAUAUAUUCUGUUUUAUAAAAAAGUGAGUUUGGUUUGGAUUAGUUGGAAACUUCUGGAACAACAUUAAUAAAACUGGAAAGAAAUUUUCCUUUUUUCAAUAUACAGUCAAUAUUGGGUCUCCAUGGUCAAAAAAGGAUUGCUUUUGAAAUUAACUUUGUGGAGAUCCAGUCAAAGCAAAAAUAACAUUGAAAUACAUUGUGUUGAUUCUUACCAGACAAACAUUCUUUCUGGAGCUAUUCUGGAAGGACAUUUCACCUGGAACAAGAAAGUCAGUUUCCAGAAAAACAGAUGAUGAAUGACUGUGUGUGUUCUCUGGGAUGAUGUGUCUAUCAGGAACCCUAUAUUCUCCCUUCAAAUAUGCCCUGCAUGGUAAAUAUUACCUCUUCACCCAGAAAACUCUAAUGGCAUGUCAGCCUUCCAGCUCCAAGCUGCUCCAUUUGUGUGCAGAAAGAAAGAGUGAAUCACUGUCUUAAUUAAGGAUCAGAACAGAGAUCCCACAAAGGCUCCUUACUGCUGCUUGGAGGCUGAUCCCUGCCCUCAUCCCUCCAUUCCAGAGCCACAGUCAGUGGGCAGUGCUGGGGACCACUUACUCUCCCUUCUGAUGCUCCAACUGGAUCACUGGCACCAGGUUUUAAAGCAGCUGCAACACAAGCCCAGAGUGCUCAGGUUGGAUGGAGAUCCUGCACUGUAAGG
Long non-coding RNA from Motacilla alba alba, 6605 nucleotides. RefSeq lists it as uncharacterized. The record is from RefSeq and is a predicted model, not a curated record. Lineage: Eukaryota; Metazoa; Chordata; Aves; Passeriformes; Motacillidae. The transcript has 8 exons.